Molecule: long non-coding RNA, 1055 nt
Filed under: Cucumis sativus (cucumber)
Lineage: Eukaryota; Viridiplantae; Streptophyta; Magnoliopsida; Cucurbitales; Cucurbitaceae
Description: long non-coding RNA (CSAT_LNC002416)
Source: RNAcentral
UUUCUUAAAAAAAAUAAAAAUGUAAUCAGAAAACAGAAAACAAGAACGUUACCAAACGGACCCUAAGUUACUCCUAACUUUAAUCAUUUUUAUUUUUUUUAAUAUAUGUAUAAAUUGCCAUAAUUUACUACAUUCACAUGUCAUAUUACACCAUUAUGACUUUACACUACACUCCGUCUUUUAGCUACGUAGAGUAGCUAUUUGGGCUUCGAGUAACUCAUAGUCCACAGAUAGGCAACCCACCAUAAAAUAGAGAUCAACAACAACUAGUCGCAGUCCAUGAUACUGGCAGUGCGAUCGGCAAGGCUUCGUUCCGAGCGAUGAGCAACUAAACGUUGGCUCGAGUCAGACGAAGUGCACGAUAGACAGGUGAGAUAUGAUGGUGGCAGCCUGUGCAUAGGAUUUUUAUGUAAAAGAAACUGUAAUCCUCUUUUCUUUUUGUUUUUUUUUAAUGAAAACACUAAUUGUUUUGCAGAGAUGACGACAGUGGGAGAUGACCGCGGAUGGAGGAAGGCACAACAUGAUAGAUGAAGAUGUUUCACAAGGGUUUGAAAGAGGACACGGCCGCAAAAUUUUCAAUUUUCGUCAUGGUUAUGACAAGUGUGGGUUUGCGAGCGUCUUGUAGAAAGGAAGGAGACAAAGUUGGAAUAAUGGUUUUUUAUUUGGAUUUUUUUUAAUUAUACAAAAAUUAUGUUGUUAAUUAACAACAUAAAAAAUUGUGUCAACAAAUAUAUAUGCAAAUUCGAAAUUAACUUUUUUUUUCUUCAAAAUUUCUUACUUUUUAUUUUUAGUGACACUUUUCUAUUGAUUACAAGUGUCAUUGUAUCACAAAUUUGUAGUAGCGAAUCUCUAAUUUCGUUACUAAUUUAGACAUCAAGACCUUUUUUUUAUGUAAUAAUGCAUGUAAUAAUGCAGAUUAAUUCUAUCGUCUCCUAAUUACAAGUUUACCGUUGAUGUUGUGAGAAAGUAAUAUGUUUUUUUCUUUGACCAAAAUUUAAUAUCAAUAGUUGUCAUCAUGUGAGGGGACAAGAUCGAUCUACCAAAAUAAAAUUGAG